This is a long non-coding RNA of Malurus melanocephalus (red-backed fairy wren), 894 nucleotides long. RefSeq lists it as uncharacterized. The record is from RefSeq and is a predicted model, not a curated record. Lineage: Eukaryota; Metazoa; Chordata; Aves; Passeriformes; Maluridae. The transcript is spliced from 5 exons.
GGGGUGAGCACUGCUGCCGGACGGAGAGCGGCUCAGGGAGAGGAGCGGUUCCCGUGGAGAUGGGCUGCUGGACACGCGUUUUUGUUCAGGACCUGGGCCUAUGAUAUCAGAGGUUGGAUUUGCAAGGUUGUGAAUAUUUUUGGCUCAAUUGUCUUUUACCGCAUUCUCCUGAAGAAAAUGGAUACUCUUGGCUUGGAUGGAAGUCCUCUUUGUUGGGUGAAAAACUGGUUGGAGUCCGGAGAAUGGCAUUUAAUUUUCAGGUUAUAGUAUAUGGAUCAGAACUAAGGAAAAUCAACGCUUCUGAAAUUAAAAUUCCACGUCACCUACAUUUCUUAAAAAAGCCACUAAGAAUACAGAAUGAAGUUAUUUUGAUCCACAUUUAAGUCAAUUGGCACAAGGACUCGUGUUGAGGAAAAAUGGUACUGUCUCAUUUAGCUGAGAAAGAUAAAUGUCAAGGACACCCUGUACUGGGAUCACAAAUCCCUCAUGAUUCAUACGAUGRCAUAUGGGGUCACAGCUUUUCACAGCAAUAGGAGCAUUGAUACUGUAACAGGUUAAGAGAAGAUGAUUUUUACAAUGAGGAAAAGGAAGGAUGGGCAUCUGUUAGUGUAGCCAAAGGCUAUACUGCUGCAGAUUCCUGGAUGAAAUCCUACAUAAUCUAUUCCACAAGAUACAGGAUUAGGUGUCAGUAUCAUUAAAUUUUUCUUUGAUUUCUUUUUGCCAUACUCCUCUUACUUCUACUGUGCCCCGUGCUGCUGGGGUUUGACCAUAUCAUACAAGGAUUCUGUGUUGCUAAGUGAGAUGCUUAGCUUCUUCCUUGAAGAAGGAAAGGGGUGUUUACUAUAGAAAUUAUGCAGCCUCCUCUGCCUCAAGCACAGUUUCAGAAAACAUUAG